Molecule: long non-coding RNA, 775 nt
Filed under: Homo sapiens (human)
Lineage: Eukaryota; Metazoa; Chordata; Mammalia; Primates; Hominidae
Description: HSALNT0342381
Source: RNAcentral
GGGCGCCUCUGCCCAGCCGCCCCUACUGGGAAGUGAGGAGCCCCUCUGCCAGGCCAGCCACCCCGUCUGGGAGGGAGGUGGGGGGCUCAGCCCCCCGCCCGGCCAGCCGACCCGUCCGGGAGGGAGGUGGGGGGUCAGCCCCCCGCCCGGCCAGCCGCCCCGUCCGGGAGGUGAGGGGCGCCUCUGCCCGGCCACCCCUACUGGGAAGUGAGGAGCCCCUCUGCCCAGCCACCACCUCGUCUGGGAGGUGUACCCAACAGCUCAUUGAGAACGGGCCGGGAUGACAAUGGCGGUUUUGUGGAAUAGAAAGGGGGGAAAGGUGGGGAAAAGAUUGAGAAAUCGGAUGGUUGCCGUGUCUGUGUAGAAAGAAGUAGACAUGGGAGACUUUUCAUUUUGUUCUGUACUAAGAUAAAUUCUUCUGCCUUGGGAUCCUGUUGAUCUGUGACCUUACCCCCAACCCUGUGCUCUCUGAAACAUGUGCUGUGUCCACUCAGGGUUAAAUGGAUUAAGGGCGGUGCAAGAUGUGCUUUGUUAAACAGAUGCUUGAAGGCAGCAUGCUCGUUAAGAAUCAUCACCACUCCCUAAUCUCAAGUACCCAGGGACACAAACACUGCGGAAGGCCGCAGGGUCCUCUGCCUAGGAAAACCAGAGACCUUUGUUCACUUGUUUAUCUGCCAACCUUCCCUCCACUAUUGUCCUAUGACCCUGCCAAAUCCCCCUCUGCGAGAAACACCCAAGAAUGAUCAAUAAAAAAAAUAAAAAUUAAAAAAAAAAA